CCAAUAGCGUAUAUUAAAGUUGUUGCAGUUAAAAAGCUCGUAGUUGAAUUUCGAGACCGGCUUACUGGUCGUGCUUUUGUGCGUACUGGUAUAAUCGGUUUCUCCUUUCUGACGAACUUUAAUGCCAUUAAUUUGGUGUUUUAGGGAAUCAGGACUGUUACUUUGAAAAAAUUAGAGUGUUUAAAGCAGGCUCACGCUUGAAUACAUUAGCAUGGAAUAACGGAAUAGGACGUUUGAUUCUAUUUUGUUGGUUUCUAGGAUCGACGUAAUGAUUAAUAGGGAGAGUUGGGGGCAUUAGUAUUCAAUUGUCAGAGGUGAAAUUCUUGGAUUUAUUGAAGACUAACUACUGCGAAAGCAUUUGCCAAGGAUGUUUUCAUUAAUCAAGAACGAAAGUUAGGGGAUCGAAGACGAUCAGAUACCGUCGUAGUCUUAACCAUAAACUAUGCCGACUAGGGAUCGGAUGAUGUUAAUUUUUUAAUGACUCAUUCGGCGCCUUACG
Molecule: ribosomal RNA, 499 nt
Filed under: uncultured Glomeromycotina
Lineage: Eukaryota; Fungi; Glomeromycota
Description: partial small subunit ribosomal RNA
Rfam family: Eukaryotic small subunit ribosomal RNA
Source: RNAcentral